CAAUUUAAACAACGAAGAGUUUGAUCCUGGCUCAGGAUGAACGCUAGCGACAGGCUUAACACAUGCAAGUCGAGGGGCAGCGGGGGUAGCAAUACCCGCCGGCGACCGGCGCACGGGUGAGUAACGCGUAUGCAACUUACCUAUCAGAGGGGGAUAACCCGGCGAAAGUCGGACUAAUACCGCAUGAAGCAGGGAUCCCGCAUGGGAAUAUUUGCUAAAGAUUCAUCGCUGAUAGAUAGGCAUGCGUUCCAUUAGGCAGUUGGCGGGGUAACGGCCCACCAAACCGACGAUGGAUAGGGGUUCUGAGAGGAAGGUCCCCCACAUUGGUACUGAGACACGGACCAAACUCCUACGGGAGGCAGCAGUGAGGAAUAUUGGUCAAUGGCCGAGAGGCUGAACCAGCCAAGUCGCGUGAGGGAUGAAGGUUCUAUGGAUCGUAAACCUCUUUUAUAAGGGAAUAAAGUGCGGGACGUGUCCCGUUUUGUAUGUACCUUAUGAAUAAGGAUCGGCUAACUCCGUGCCAGCAGCCGCGGUAAUACGGAGGAUCCGAGCGUUAUCCGGAUUUAUUGGGUUUAAAGGGUGCGUAGGCGGCCUUUUAAGUCAGCGGUGAAAGUCUGUGGCUCAACCAUAGAAUUGCCGUUGAAACUGGGGGGCUUGAGUAUGUUUGAGGCAGGCGGAAUGCGUGGUGUAGCGGUGAAAUGCAUAGAUAUCACGCAGAACCCCGAUUGCGAAGGCAGCCUGCCAAGCCAUGACUGACGCUGAUGCACGAAAGCGUGGGGAUCAAACAGGAUUAGAUACCCUGGUAGUCCACGCAGUAAACGAUGAUCACUAGCUGUUUGCGAUACACUGUAAGCGGCACAGCGAAAGCGUUAAGUGAUCCACCUGGGGAGUACGCCGGCAACGGUGAAACUCAAAGGAAUUGACGGGGGCCCGCACAAGCGGAGGAACAUGUGGUUUAAUUCGAUGAUACGCGAGGAACCUUACCCGGGUUUGAACGCAUUCGGACCGAGGUGGAAACACCUUUUCUAGCAAUAGCCGUUUGCGAGGUGCUGCAUGGUUGUCGUCAGCUCGUGCCGUGAGGUGUCGGCUUAAGUGCCAUAACGAGCGCAACCCUUGCCACUAGUUACUAACAGGUAAAGCUGAGGACUCUGGUGGGACUGCCAGCGUAAGCUGCGAGGAAGGCGGGGAUGACGUCAAAUCAGCACGGCCCUUACAUCCGGGGCGACACACGUGUUACAAUGGCGUGGACAAAGGGAAGCCACCUGGCGACAGGGAGCGAAUCCCCAAACCACGUCUCAGUUCGGAUCGGAGUCUGCAACCCGACUCCGUGAAGCUGGAUUCGCUAGUAAUCGCGCAUCAGCCAUGGCGCGGUGAAUACGUUCCCGGGCCUUGUACACACCGCCCGUCAAGCCAUGGGAGCCGGGGGUACCUGAAGUCCGUAACCGCGAGGAUCGGCCUAGGGUAAAACUGGUGACUGGGGCUAAGUCGUAACAAGGUAGCCGUACCGGAAGGUGCGGCUGGAACACCUCCUUUCU
This 1535-nucleotide ribosomal RNA is filed under the name Parabacteroides distasonis. RNAcentral's name for it is "bacterial SSU rRNA". It matches the Rfam family "Bacterial small subunit ribosomal RNA". Lineage: Bacteria; Pseudomonadati; Bacteroidota; Bacteroidia; Bacteroidales; Tannerellaceae. The record is from RNAcentral.